Molecule: ribosomal RNA, 477 nt
Filed under: uncultured bacterium
Lineage: Bacteria
Description: partial 16S ribosomal RNA
Rfam family: Bacterial small subunit ribosomal RNA
Source: RNAcentral
GAUGAACGCUGGCGGCGUGCUUAACACAUGCAAGUCGAACGAGAAAUGGAGACGGAAACCUUCGGGCGGAAGGCUUCAUUUAGAGUGGCGGACGGGUGAGUAACGCGUGGGUAACCUGCCUCAUACAGGGGGAUAACAGUUGGAAACGACUGUUAAUACCGCAUAAGACCACAGCACCGCAUGAUGCGGGGGUAAAAACUCCGGUGGUAUGAGAUGGACCCGCGUUCGAUUAGCCAGUUGGCGGGGUAACGGCCCACCAAAGCGACGAUCGAUAGCCGAUCUGAGAGGAUGACCGGCCACAUUGGGACUGAGACACGGCCCAAACUCCUACGGGAGGCAGCAGUGGGGAAUAUUGCACAAUGGGGGAAACCCUGAUGCAGCGACGCCGCGUGAGUGAAGAAGUACUUCGGUAUGUAAAGCUCUAUCAGCAGGGAAGAAAAUGACGGUACCUGAGUAAGAAGCCCCGGCUAACUACGU